UGCAAGUGGUCUCCAUUUUCAUUUGGUCUGCAUUAUCCCAACAGCAUUUAAUUCUUAUUCAGAUCCUAAGAAUAUUCUAUGACAGCACUGUUUUUGGAAAAUAAAAUUUCAAGAUAUGCUGUGUGUGCUUCUAGCCUGAAGAAUAAGUAGUAAGAACAUCAAUCAAGAGAUGAGAAAAAAAAGUCAGGAUUUUCUGCCUUGGAGAAAUGCUUACCAACCACCAGAGGAAGAUUUGUUCACGAACAAUGAACAUUUCUCAUGAGGAUUCAGAUUAACAUAGGACUAAUCUUAGUUUUGGGGAAUGAAUGAGCUUCCUUUCUUGCUAUUUUUUUGUUUUUAAUUUUGUGGUAAGCUAUGAUAUGUGGAUGGAUUUUGGAAAAAUUCUUUCCUGAUAAUAUAUUUAGCACAUGUUCUACAUCAUAAUCCUAUAGCAAACAGCAGGAGCAUCAUUCAAACUUAAAGACAGUGGGGAAAAAAAAUCUCAGUUUCCAAUUUAUUCUCAGAUUUCUUCACCAUGUAAUUAUUCUGUUAACGCCUUGCUGGUGGAAAUGCAAACCACGUCUAUCAAGAAAUAAACUUUAUUUUUUCAUCGUGUUGAACACAAUUGGUGGCAACGUGCACAGAACCUGACCGCUAUUAGUAGAAGAUACGUAAUGGACACAAAUUCUCAUUUCACCUUCAAAAAUACAAGCCAGCUUUGCCAUCCGAUCAAGAAUAAGGAGGGUAAAUCAAGGAGGAAUCCUCCUUUUUUUUUUUUCCUGAUCAUU
Capra hircus (goat) is the source of this 767-nucleotide long non-coding RNA. RefSeq lists it as uncharacterized. The transcript is spliced from 2 exons. NCBI's taxonomy places the organism in Eukaryota, Metazoa, Chordata, Mammalia, Artiodactyla, Bovidae. The record is from RefSeq and is a predicted model, not a curated record.